UACGUAGGCAGCGAGCGUUGUUCGGAUUUACUGGGCGUAAAGGGCGCGUAGGCGGCCUCUGCAAGUCGACUGUGAAAUCUCCGGGCUUAACCCGGAAAGGUCAGCCGAUACUGCAGGGCUAGAGUGCAGAAGGGGCAACUGGAAUUCUCGGUGUAGCGGUGAAAUGCGUAGAUAUCGAGAGGAACACCUGCGGCGAAGGCGGGUUGCUGGGCUGACACUGACGCUGACAGCGCGAAAGCUAGGGGAGCGAACGGG
Molecule: ribosomal RNA, 255 nt
Filed under: uncultured bacterium
Lineage: Bacteria
Description: partial 16S ribosomal RNA
Rfam family: Bacterial small subunit ribosomal RNA
Source: RNAcentral